RNAcentral lists this transfer RNA (358 nucleotides) under uncultured Microcystis sp. Its description in RNAcentral is "partial 16S-23S ribosomal RNA intergenic spacer". The stretch from base 133 to 206 matches the Rfam family "tRNA". Lineage: Bacteria; Bacillati; Cyanobacteriota; Cyanophyceae; Chroococcales; Microcystaceae. The record is from RNAcentral.
AAGGGAGACCUAAUUCGGGUAGGAGACGAAAAGAAAGUAGUCCCUACCAAGAAUCAAUCCCAAAAGGUCGGAACGAGGUAUGAGGCUUUCAAACUAGGUUCUGGGUUCAUAAAAGACCUGAAUCAGGAACAAGGGCUAUUAGCUCAGGUGGUUAGAGCGCACCCCUGAUAAGGGUGAGGUCCCUGGUUCGAGUCCAGGAUGGCCCACCUGCACAGGUGGCAAAAACAAGAGAAGCUCCGAAUCAGCACCUUAUCUUAUAUACAUAUAUAAGAGAGAAUGCUGGCUCUGAGUACAGAGUCCAGAGGAACCUUGAAAACUGCAUAGAGCUAGGUGAAAAAGCCAAAAAAGAAGACCGCAA